UACGGCCAUAUCACGUUGAAAUACCGGUUCCCGUAUGAUCACCGAAGUUAAGCUAAGCCGAGCUUGGUCAGUACCUAGAUGAAUGACCGCUUGAAAAUACCAGG
Non-coding RNA from Acanthosepion pharaonis, 104 nucleotides. The record is from the annotation of a GenBank genome assembly. NCBI's taxonomy places the organism in Eukaryota, Metazoa, Mollusca, Cephalopoda, Sepiida, Sepiidae.